GAUGAAGAACGUAGCGAAAUGCGAUAAGUAAUGUGAAUUGCAGAAUUCAGUGAAUCAUCGAAUCUUUGAACGCACCUUGCGCUCCUUGGCAUUCCGAGGAGCAUGCCUGUUUGAGUGUCAUUAAAUUCUCAAGACCUGUCUGCUUUUUUGAUAGGUAUUGGAUUUUGGGGGUUGCAGGCUGUUUCAAAUAAAUAGCCUUGCUCUCCUUGAAUGUAUUAGUGGAGAAAAGCCAUUGAACUCCAUUGGUGUGAUAAAACCUAUCAAUGCCAGGAGCAAUAUCACUACUUCUCUCUGCUGUCUAACUGUGACUGUCUGUAUUAAUUAGUAUGGAUGGGUACAACUUGACCAACUUGACCUCAAAUCAGGUAGGACUACCCGCUGAACUUAAGCAUAUCAAUAAGCGGAGGA
Molecule: unclassified non-coding RNA, 408 nt
Filed under: soil metagenome
Description: partial contains 5.8S ribosomal RNA, internal transcribed spacer 2, and large subunit ribosomal RNA
Rfam family: 5.8S ribosomal RNA (bases 1-120)
Source: RNAcentral